This 1465-nucleotide long non-coding RNA is filed under the name Phoenix dactylifera (date palm). RNAcentral describes it as "long non-coding RNA (PDAC_LNC014523)". Lineage: Eukaryota; Viridiplantae; Streptophyta; Magnoliopsida; Arecales; Arecaceae. The record is from RNAcentral.
AUGUCACAAAACAUAUUGUAAAAAAGCUCUUAGCAUGUUCCUUUGGAGGUAAAGUAGAUGUGGGUUCAUACAUCAUUGGAUGGUCUCCUUUUGAAGUGCAUCACAUCAUUUUCAUAUUUAGCUGAGUAUCUGAAGUUAGAUGUGAUCUGCGAAGGCUGUCGGUCUCUGUCCCAUACCUAAAGUCGGAUGAUCCACAGUUUGUGAAGAAGGUGGUUGUUUGCUUCAGAUUCUGAUCAAAUCUAUGGGGAUUAUUUCCUUGAGAACUUGUGGUAGCUGACCUGAGAAUGCAAGCUUCAACAAUGCUAUGAAAACCAACAUCAUGACUGGUGGUAGGUGGAAAGCGAUGCCUGCGAGCUAUGACAUCUCAACCAGUUUUGGCCUGUGGGGCACGAGUUGCUUCUUUUCCAUGCAAGAAGAGCAAUGCUAUGCAAAAUGGUCAUCUAAGAACCAGUUUAGUAGAAGGUUCUUGGAAGGACAGGUUGCAUGAGGCUCUUUUGCUAGUAGUGCUUUAUAGAGCAAUUAACAUAGAGAGAUAUUGCUCCACAUCUGAAGUAUACUGCAGUAGUGCUUUGCUUGCUCUUCAUACCUGGUGGUAAUUUAGGCUUUGUCUUGGCUACCUUGAUUUCGAUUAAAAAGAGGAAUAAACAGGGAUGAAACGAAGAGAAGAAUUGGUACAUAGUUGUUCUCUAUUUUUGUAACAACUUAGGAUUGGCUAGCUAGAAGGUAUUAUUUGGAUUUUUUGAUCCUGUAUAAAUGCCCCAAAUCUACCCAGCGAAUAACCGAUAUGAGACUAAACACAUACCCGCACGGAUUUUCACAUACUCUUUCUGUUUAAGCGUUGACGUUCUCGUCAGACUAAGAGUUCAAAUCUAUUCAAAUCUAAUUACAAGCAUCACGAUCGGCCCGUGGUCAGCCUUAAUAUAACAAUAUUGCAGUGCUCUUUAGUCCACAUAGGUUAUAGGCUGGAUCCGCUCUGAUACCAUUUGUAACAAUUCAGAACCUCAUCCAAAAAAACUAGUCGAAAAGUAUUAUUUGAAUUCUUUGAUCCUAUAUAAACACCCAAGAUCUACCUAACGAACAACUGAUAUAGGACUAAAUACACGUUUGCAUGGAUUCACAUAUACUCUUCUCGUUUAAACCCGACGUUCUUGUCAGGUUAAGGGUUCAAAUCUAUAUAAAUCUAAUCACAAGCACCACGAUCAGUCCGUGGUCAGUUCCAAUAGAUCCAUGCUGCAGUGCCUCCUAAUCCACAUAGAUUAUAAAUCAGGUAUGCUCCGAUACUAUUUAUAACAACUUAAAAUCUCAUCCAAAAUGACUAGCCGAAAGAUAUUAUUUGAAUUUUUUGAUGUACCCCAUAUUUACUCAGCAAAUAACCAAUAUGAAACUAAACACACGCUCGUAUGAAACCCCACAAUUUUUCUCCCUAGUCCUCACUGGAGACGUGUUUCCUUUUUUUUUUUUUUUU